Molecule: ribosomal RNA, 433 nt
Filed under: uncultured bacterium
Lineage: Bacteria
Description: partial 16S ribosomal RNA
Rfam family: Bacterial small subunit ribosomal RNA
Source: RNAcentral
AGCGAACGCUGGCGGCAGGCUUAACACAUGCAAGUCGAACGGGCACUUCGGUGCUAGUGGCAGACGGGUGAGUAACACGUGGGAACGUACCUUUCGGUUCGGAAUAAUCCAGGGAAACUUGGACUAAUACCGGAUACGCCCUUCGGGGGAAAGAUUCAUCGCCGAUAGAUCGGCCCGCGUCCGAUUAGCUAGUUGGUGAGGUAAUGGCUCACCAAGGCGACGAUCAGUAGCUGGUCUGAGAGGAUGAUCAGCCACAUUGGGACUGAGACACGGCCCAAACUCCUACGGGAGGCAGCAGUGGGGAAUAUUGGACAAUGGGCGCAAGCCUGAUCCAGCCAUGCCGCGUGAGUGAUGAAGGCCUUAGGGUUGUAAAGCUCUUUUGUCCGGGAAGAUAAUGACUGUACCGGAAGAAUAAGCCCCGGCUAACUUCGUG